Molecule: ribosomal RNA, 440 nt
Filed under: uncultured bacterium
Lineage: Bacteria
Description: partial 16S ribosomal RNA
Rfam family: Bacterial small subunit ribosomal RNA
Source: RNAcentral
CCUACGGGAGGCUGCAGUGGGGAAUAUUGGACAAUGGGGGAAACCCUGAUCCAGCGACGCCGCGUGAGUGAAGAAGUAUUUCGGUACGUAAAGCUCUAUCAGCAGGGAAGAAAAUGACGGUACCUGACUAAGAAGCCCCGGCUAACUACGUGCCAGCAGCCGCGGUAAUACGUAGGGGGCAAGCGUUAUCCGGAUUUACUGGGUGGAAAGGGAGCGUAGACGGCAGCGCAAGUCUGGAGUGAAAUGCCGGGGCCCAACCCCGGAACUGCUCUGGAAACUGUGAAGCUGGAGUGCAGGAGAGGUAAGCGGAAGUCCUGGUGUAGCGGUGAAAUGCGUAGAUAGCAGGAGGAACACCGGCGGCGAAGGCGGCUUACUGGACUGUAACUGACGUUGAGGCUCGAAGGCGUGGGGAGCAAACAGGAUUAGAUACCCUUGUAGUC